Molecule: ribosomal RNA, 482 nt
Filed under: uncultured bacterium
Lineage: Bacteria
Description: bacterial SSU rRNA
Rfam family: Bacterial small subunit ribosomal RNA
Source: RNAcentral
GAUCAACGCUGGCGGCGUGCCUCAGACAUGCAAGUCGAACGAUUAAAGCUCUCUUCGGAGAGUGUAUAGAGUGGCGCACGGGUGAGUAACACGUAAGUAAUCUACCCUCGAGUGGGGAAUAACAACCGGAAACGGUUGCUAAUACCGCAUAAUGCAGCGGCACCGCAAGGUGACAGUUGUUAAAGAUUUAUCGCUUGAGGAGGAGCUUGCGGCAGAUUAGCUAGUUGGUAGGGUAACGGCUUACCAAGGCUACGAUCUGUAACCGGUCUAAGAGGACGGUCGGUCACACUGACACUGAAUAACGGGUCAGACUCCUACGGGAGGCAGCAGUCGGGAAUUUUGGGCAAUGGGCGAAAGCCUGACCCAGCAACGCCGCGUGAAGGAUGAAGUAUUUCGGUAUGUAAACUUCGAAAGAAUAGGAAGAAUUAAUGACGGUACUAUUUAUAAGGUCCGGCUAACUACGUGCCAGCAGCCGCGGUAAU